Molecule: ribosomal RNA, 438 nt
Filed under: Elysia serca (Caribbean seagrass elysia)
Lineage: Eukaryota; Metazoa; Mollusca; Gastropoda; Plakobranchidae
Description: partial 16S ribosomal RNA
Rfam family: Archaeal large subunit ribosomal RNA
Source: RNAcentral
AGCCUUAAGUUUUAUUUAAGGUGACGCCUGCCCAGUGCUAUUAACAGUAAACGGCCGCAGUACCCUGACUGUGCUAAGGUAGCAUAAUCAGUUGGCUUUUAAAUGGAGUCGGGAAUGAAUGGAUUAAUAGGGUGUGACUGUCUCUUCUACACUAAAUUGAAUUUGCUUAUUAGGUGAAAAUGCCUAAGCCUAGAAAAAAGACGAGAAGACCCUAGGAGUUUUUACUAGAGGUUAACAAAAUUUAACUGUUGUUUUUGUUGGGGCGACAAAGGAGCAAUUAAACCCUCCUUUUAUUAUCUGCCGACAGUGUAUGAGAGAUUAAACUACCCUAGGGAUAACAGCGUAAUUCUUAAGAGCUUGCGACCUCGAUGUUGGACUAGGAAUUUGGUAGGCUAGCCGCCUAUUUAUAUUGUUCUGUUCGAACUGUUUUUCCUACAU